Molecule: ribosomal RNA, 427 nt
Filed under: uncultured bacterium
Lineage: Bacteria
Description: bacterial SSU rRNA
Rfam family: Bacterial small subunit ribosomal RNA
Source: RNAcentral
UGGGGAAUUUUGGACAAUGGGCGCAAGCCUGAUCCAGCCAUGCCGCGUGAGUGAAGAAGGCCUUCGGGUUGUAAAGCUCUUUCGGACGGGAAGAAAUGGCGGGCUCUAACAUAGCCUGUCGAUGACGGUACCGUAAGAAGAAGCACCGGCUAACUACGUGCCAGCAGCCGCGGUAAUACGUAGGGUGCGAGCGUUAAUCGGAAUUACUGGGCGUAAAGCGCACGUAGAUGGCUUCGUAAGUCGGAUGUGAAAUCCCCGGGCUCAACCUGGGAACUGCAUUCGAAACUGCGUUGCUCGAGUGUGGAAGAGGGCAGCGGAAUUCCAGGUGUAGCGGUGAAAUGCGUAGAUAUCUGGAAGAACACCAGUUGCGAAGGCGGUCUCUUGGUCCGACACUGACGCUGAGGCGCGAAAGCGUGGGGAGCAAACA